GCAGCUUGCUGGACUGUAACUGACGCUGAGGCACGAAAGCGUGGGGAUCAAACAGGAUUAGAUACCNNGGUANNCCACGCCGUAAACGAUGAAUGCUAGCUGUUAGCGAUAUACUGUUAGCGGCACAGAGAAAUCGUUAAGCAUUCCACCUGGGGAGUACGCCGGCAACGGUGAAACUCAAAGGAAUUGACGGGGGCCCGCACAAGCGGAGGAACAUGUGGUUUAAUUCGAUGAUACGCGAGGAACCUUACCUGGGCUUAAAUUGCAGUGGAAUAACGUGGAAACAUGUUAGCCUUCGGGCCGCUGUGAAGGUGCUGCAUGGUUGUCGUCAGCUCGUGCCGUGAGGUGUCGGCUUAAGUGCCAUAACGAGCGCAACCCUCAUCGAUAGUUACUAACAGGUUAAGCUGAGGACUCUAUCGAGACUGCCGACGUAAGUCGUGAGGAAGGUGGGGAUGACGUCAAAUCAGCACGGCCCUUACGUCCAGGGCUACACACGUGUUACAAUGGGGGGUACAAAGGGCAGCUACCUGGCGACAGGAUGCUAAUCUCAAAAACCUCUCUCAGUUCGGAUUGGAGUCUGCAACCCGACUCCAUGAAGCUGGAUUCGCUAGUAAUCGCGCAUCAGCCACGGCGCGGUGAAUACGUUCCCGGGCCUUGUACACACCGCCCGUCAAGCCAUGGGAGCCGGGGGGACCUGAAGUAUGCAACCGUAAGGAGCGUCCUAGGGUAAAACUGGUGACUGGGGCU
This 747-nucleotide ribosomal RNA is filed under the name uncultured prokaryote. RNAcentral describes it as "bacterial SSU rRNA". It matches the Rfam family "Bacterial small subunit ribosomal RNA", at positions 721 to 1482 of the family's 1533-position model. The record is from RNAcentral.